GAUGAACGCUGGCGGCGUGCCUAAUACAUGCAAGUCGAGCGAGCAGAUAAGGAGCUUGCUCCUUUGACGUUAGCGGCGGACGGGUGAGUAACACGUGGGUAACCUACCUAUAAGACUGGGAUAACUUCGGGAAACCGGAGCUAAUACCGGAUAACAUUUGGAACCGCAUGGUUCUAAAGUGAAAGAUGGUUUUGCUAUCACUUAUAGAUGGACCCGCGCCGUAUUAGCUAGUUGGUAAGGUAACGGCUUACCAAGGCGACGAUACGUAGCCGACCUGAGAGGGUGAUCGGCCACACUGGAACUGAGACACGGUCCAGACUCCUACGGGAGGCAGCAGUAGGGAAUCUUCCGCAAUGGGCGAAAGCCUGACGGAGCAACGCCGCGUGAGUGAUGAAGGGUUUCGGCUCGUAAAACUCUGUUAUUAGGGAAGAACAAAUGUGUAAGUAACUGUGCACGUCUUGACGGUACCUAAUCAGAAAGCCACGGCCAACUACGUG
Molecule: ribosomal RNA, 497 nt
Filed under: uncultured bacterium
Lineage: Bacteria
Description: partial 16S ribosomal RNA
Rfam family: Bacterial small subunit ribosomal RNA
Source: RNAcentral